This is an RNA transcript of Mangifera indica (mango), 1137 nucleotides long. It is a transcript of the gene named nuclear transcription factor Y subunit B-1-like, with no coding region annotated. The record is from RefSeq and is a predicted model, not a curated record. NCBI's taxonomy places the organism in Eukaryota, Viridiplantae, Streptophyta, Magnoliopsida, Sapindales, Anacardiaceae. The transcript is spliced from 8 exons.
AUUGAAAGAAUAAAUUAAUUAAUUUUGCCUGGAACAAAACCAACGGUGUUGAUAAACUCCAUUUUUACAUCUGAGUCGUCUCCUUUGUGCUUUCUUCUCCAGCGUCCGAUCUCCUCUCUUUCUUCCCCAAUCCUCUCCAUCUAAAGCCUCUCCCUCUCUCGCGCCCUUUUACAAAUCACUACUCUCCCUCACUUGCUCCACCAGGGUUUUGGGGAUGGCUUCCGAGGCACCAGCGAGUCCAGGCGGUGGAAGCCACGAGAGCGGCGACCAAAGUCCCAAAUCGAACGUGCGUGAACAGGAUAGGUACCUUCCGAUUGCUAACAUUAGUCGGAUCAUGAAGAAGGCGCUUCCUGCUAAUGGCAAGAUUGCCAAGGAUGCUAAAGAGACUGUUCAGGAAUGUGUUUCUGAGUUCAUUAGCUUUAUCACCAGCGAGGCCAGUGAUAAGUGUCAGAGAGAGAAGAGAAAGACGAUAAACGGUGAUGAUUUGCUUUGGGCUAUGGCAACUUUAGGUUUUGAGGAUUAUAUUGAUCCGCUUAAGAUUUAUCUGACUAGAUAUAGAGAGAUGGAGGGUGACACUAAGGGUUCUGCUAAGGGAGAAUCAUCUUCUAAGAAAGAUAUUCCACCAGGCCACAACACACCCCAGCUUGCCCAUCAAGGUUCUUUCUCACAAGGUGUUAGCUAUGGAAAUUCUCAAUCUCAGUCACAGUCACAUAUGAUGCUUCCAAUGCAUGGCGCAGAGUAGAAUCUGCACUGCAACAACCGGUUAAAUGUAUCUCAUUGAAGAUCUUGCCUGGUGCUCUCAACAUAAAUUAUAUUGAAGUGCACCAUAGAUAGAGCCUUCCUCAAAAGAAAGCAGAGUCGGUGUUGUGUGAAUGCUAUUCAAGUUGCUCGUCAAAAUCCAUGUAGCUUUGCUGAGGUUUUUCCAAGUCAAUAAGCACUGCUUUUGAUUACUUUUCAAGUUUUCAUGCCGCAUUGUAUUGUCGUUUCCUUCAUUUUUACGUUUUUAGUGUUAGUCGAAGAGUGCCCCCUGACCAUGUUUCGGUCUUAUCUGCUGUGCCUAUUUCUUUUCUUUUUUUUAAUCGCUUGUUUAUGAUAAUUUUGUAAAGUUUUUGAUAAUCAUAAAGAUAAUUUUUAGUA